Molecule: ribosomal RNA, 924 nt
Filed under: uncultured bacterium
Lineage: Bacteria
Description: bacterial SSU rRNA
Rfam family: Bacterial small subunit ribosomal RNA
Source: RNAcentral
GUACCUGACUAAGAAGCACCGGCUAAAUACGUGCCAGCAGCCGCGGUAAUACGGAGGAUGCGAGCGUUAUCCGGAUUUAUUGGGUUUAAAGGGUGCGUAGGCGGGACGCCAAGUCAGCGGUAAAAUGUCGGGGCUCAACCCCGUUGUGCCGUUGAAACUGGCGUUCUUGAGUGGGCGAGAAGUAUGCGGAAUGCGUGGUGUAGCGGUGAAAUGCAUAGAUAUCACGCAGAACUCCGAUUGCGAAGGCAGCAUACCGGCGCCCUACUGACGCUGAAGCACGAAAGCGUGGGUAUCAAACAGGCUUAGAUACCCUGGUAGUCCACGCAGUAAACGAUGAACACUAAUUGUCCGGCGCGAAUGAGCGCUGGGUGAUACAGCGAAAGCGUUAAGUGUUCCACCUGGGGAGUACGCCGGCAACGGUGAAACUCAAAGGAAUUGACGGGGGCCCGCACAAGCGGAGGAACAUGUGGUUUAAUUCGAUGAUACGCGAGGAACCUUACCCGGGCUCAAACGACGCAGGAAUGUUUUUGAAAGGAGGCAGCCCUUCGGGGCCUGCGUCGAGGUGCUGCAUGGUUGUCGUCAGCUCGUGCCGUGAGGUGUCGGCUUAAGUGCCAUAACGAGCGCAACCCCCAUUGACAGUUGCUAACAGGUAAAGCUGAGGACUCUGUCGAGACUGCCGGCGCAAGCUGUGAGGAAGGCGGGGAUGACGUCAAAUCAGCACGGCCCUUACGUCCGGGGCGACACACGUGUUACAAUGGCAGGUACAGCGGGAGGCCACCUGGCGACAGGGAGCGGAACCCGAAAGCCUGUCUCAGUUCGGAUUGGAGUCUGCAACCCGACUCCAUGAAGCUGGAUUCGCUAGUAAUCGCGCAUCAGCCACGGCGCGGUGAAUACGUUCCCGGGCCUUGCACACACCGCCCGUCA